UUGAUUUGUUGUAAUCUUGGAAACUAAAUAAGACGGGGUCUGGUUAGUAUUUGGAUGGGAGACCAUUGGGAAUACCAGGUGCAAAUUGCC
This 90-nucleotide ribosomal RNA is filed under the name Periophthalmus magnuspinnatus. The record is from RNAcentral. Lineage: Eukaryota; Metazoa; Chordata; Actinopteri; Gobiiformes; Gobiidae.